Molecule: ribosomal RNA, 450 nt
Filed under: uncultured bacterium
Lineage: Bacteria
Description: partial 16S ribosomal RNA
Rfam family: Bacterial small subunit ribosomal RNA
Source: RNAcentral
GUGGGGAAUAUUGGACAAUGGGCGAAAGCCUGAUCCAGCCAUGCCGCGUGUGUGAAGAAGGUCUUCGGAUUGUAAAGCACUUUAAGUUGGGAGGAAGGGUUGUACGUUAAUACCGUGCAAUUUUGACGUUACCGACAGAAUAAGCACCGGCUAACUUCGUGCCAGCAGCCGCGGUAAUACGAAGGGUGCAAGCGUUAAUCGGAAUUACUGGGCGUAAAGCGCGCGUAGGUGGUUCAGUAAGUUGGAAGUGAAAUCCCCGGGCUCAACCUGGGAACUGCUUUGAAAACGGCGGAGCUAGAGUACGGUAGAGGGUAGUGGAAUUUCCUGUGUAGCGGUGAAAUGCGUAGAUAUAGGAAGGAACACCAGUGGCGAAGGCGACUACCUGGACUGAUACUGACACUGAGGUGCGAAAGCGUGGGGAGCAAACAGGAUUAGAAACCCGAGUAGUCC